AAUUCAUCAACUUGCAUUAUUAAUUUAAUUAUCCAAUCUAAGUUUUGUUUCAAUCCAAUUAUCCAACCUAAUUUUUGUUAAAUAUAAAAAAUACUUAAAUAUCGUUCUCUACUAGUUUAAAUUUUUACAGCAUAAUAAUUAUUUCACAUGGUAUCAGAAUAGAAUGUUUUGAGUUCAAAUCAAUACCAAACUCCUAGUAUUAUUAACUUUCUUUUACAAAAAUUUUAUGAAUGAUGAAGAUUAUAUAUAUAUAUUUAAA
This 259-nucleotide long non-coding RNA is filed under the name Ananas comosus (pineapple). Its description in RNAcentral is "long non-coding RNA (ACOM_LNC008127)". Lineage: Eukaryota; Viridiplantae; Streptophyta; Magnoliopsida; Poales; Bromeliaceae. The record is from RNAcentral.